Molecule: ribosomal RNA, 468 nt
Filed under: uncultured bacterium
Lineage: Bacteria
Description: partial 16S ribosomal RNA
Rfam family: Bacterial small subunit ribosomal RNA
Source: RNAcentral
GACGAACGCUGGCGGCGUGCUUAACACAUGCAAGUCGAACGGAAAGGCCCUGCUUUUGUGGGGUGCUCGAGUGGCGAACGGGUGAGUAACACGUGAGUAACCUGCCCUUGACUUUGGGAUAACUUCAGGAAACUGGGGCUAAUACCGGAUAGGAGCUCCUGCUGCAUGUUGGGGGUUGGAAAGUUUCGGCGGUUGGGGAUGGACUCGCGGCUUAUCAGCUUGUUGGUGGGGUAGUGGCUUACCAAGGCUUUGACGGGUAGCCGGCCUGGGAGGGUGACCGGCCACAUUGGGACUGAGAUACGGCCCAGACUCCUACGGGAGGCAGCAGUGGGGAAUAUUGCACAAUGGGCGGAAGCCUGAUGCAGCAACGCCGCGUGCGGGAUGACGGCCUUCUGGUUGUAAACCGCUUUCGCCUGUGACGAAGCGUGAGUGACGGUAAUGGGUAAAGAAGCACCGGCUAACUACGUG